GCGGCCGUGGUCUAGCGUGGUCUAGGACACCGGCCCCCCGCGCCGUUAACCCGGGUUCAAAUCCCGGCGGCCGCA
Molecule: transfer RNA, 75 nt
Filed under: Candidatus Bathyarchaeota archaeon
Lineage: Archaea; Thermoproteati; Candidatus Bathyarchaeota
Description: tRNA-Gly
Rfam family: tRNA
About the family: Transfer RNA (tRNA) molecules are approximately 80 nucleotides in length.
Source: RNAcentral